Molecule: ribosomal RNA, 253 nt
Filed under: uncultured bacterium
Lineage: Bacteria
Description: partial 16S ribosomal RNA
Rfam family: Bacterial small subunit ribosomal RNA
Source: RNAcentral
UACGGAGGGUGCGAGCGUUGUCCGGAAUCAUUGGGCGUAAAGGGCGCGUAGGCGGCCAUUCAAGUCGGAGGUGAAAGCCCAGGGCUCAACCCUGGAAUUGCCUUCGAUACUGUCUGGCUAGAGAUCGGAAGAGGUAAGUGGAACUGCGAGUGUAGAGGUGAAAUUCGUAGAUAUUCGCAAGAACACCAGUGGCGAAGGCGGCUUACUGGUCCGGUUCUGACGCUGAGGAGCGAAAGCGUGGGGAGCGAACAGG